This 301-nucleotide ribosomal RNA is filed under the name uncultured bacterium. RNAcentral's name for it is "partial 16S ribosomal RNA". It matches the Rfam family "Bacterial small subunit ribosomal RNA", at positions 509 to 807 of the family's 1533-position model. The record is from RNAcentral.
CAGUAGCCGCGGUAAUACAGAGGGUGCGAGCGUUAAUCGGAUUUACUGGGCGUAAAGCGUGCGUAGGCGGCUUUUUAAGUCGGAUGUGAAAUCCCUGAGCUUAACUUAGGAAUUGCAUUCGAUACUGGGAAGCUAGAGUAUGGGAGAGGAUGGUAGAAUUCCAGGUGUAGCGGUGGAAUGCGUAGAGAUCUGGAGGAAUACCGAUGGCGAAGGCAGCCAUCUGGCCUAAUACUGACGCUGAGGUACGAAAGCAUGGGGAGCAAACAGGAUUAGAUACCCCGGUAGUCCCUGUCUCUUAUAC